GACGAACGCUGGCGGCGUGGACUAGGCAUGCAAGUCGGACGGUAGGGCUUUAUCGUAAGAUAGAGUUUGAGAGUGGCGAACGGGUGAGUAACACGUAGGAAUCUACCCUUAAGACGGGGACAACCCAGGGAAACUUGGGCUAAUACCGGAUGAGAGUGCGAGAGAUUGCAUUUAAAAGGAUGGCGAAAGUUGUCGCUUAGGGAUGAGCCUGCGGUCUAUUAGUUAGUUGGUGAGGUAAGAGCUCACCAAGGCGAUGAUAGAUAGGCGGCCUUAACGGGUGGUCGCCCACACUGGGAUUGAGAUACGGCCCAGACUCCUACGGGAGGCAGCAGUCGAGAAUAGUCUACAAUGGUCGGAAGACUGAUAGUGCGACGCCGCGUGAACGAUGAAUCCCUUCGGGUGUAAAGUUCUUUUAUAUGUGAGCAGUGCUUCUUAUAUUAACAGUAUGGGGAGAGAGAUAUUAGCAUAUGAAUAAGCAACGGCUAACUCCGUGCC
RNAcentral lists this ribosomal RNA (495 nucleotides) under uncultured bacterium. RNAcentral's name for it is "bacterial SSU rRNA". It matches the Rfam family "Bacterial small subunit ribosomal RNA", at positions 28 to 509 of the family's 1533-position model. The record is from RNAcentral.